This 761-nucleotide non-coding RNA is filed under the name Otobius lagophilus. The record is from RNAcentral. Lineage: Eukaryota; Metazoa; Arthropoda; Arachnida; Ixodida; Argasidae.
AAAUGACAUUAUAUACCCUUUUCUUUUUUUACUAAAAAAAAAAAAAAGAAAAGGGAUCUUUUAGAUAUUUAUAUAGUAUAUAACUAUUGCAUAUAAGUCUCUUUAUGUUAAAGAAUAAAUAGGUUUUAAAUAGAAGAUAAAAUUAGAAUUUUUGUAUGUUAAAAAUAGGACUUAAUUAUAACCUGGCUAAGCCUGUGCCAGCCGCCGCGGUUAUACAGGCAGGUUAAGAUUGUUUUUUCGUAGAAAGAAAAAAAAGAAGAGUUUUUUAAAACGCUUGAGAAGGUGAAAUUUAUAAGGUUAAUUUUAUUUUUGGUUUUUAAAAGCCUUGUUUGUAAACUAGGAUUAGAUACCCUAUUAUUAUGAAGGUUUGAUAUUGGUAGUAUGUAUAGAUUGUGAAAUCUAAAGAUUUUGGCGGUAUUUUAAACUCGUUAGAGGAACUUGCUCUUUAAUUGAUAAAACACCGAAAUCUUACUUAAAUUGGUUAAGACAGUUUGUAUAUCGCUAUCAGCAAAUUAUAUUGGAUGAUUAUAUAAUUUUAAUGAUUUUUUAUAAAAAUGUUAGGUCAAAAUGCAACUUAUAUUUAAGGUUGAAGUGAGUUAUAAGAAUUGUUAUUGGAUAGUAGUGAAAGUAAAAUUAAGAUUUAAAAGUAAAAUGGAAUUAUAAUGUCUAUUUGAAAGGAGUUCUGAAAUAUGUACAUAUCGCCCGUCGCUCUCAUUAAAGAGAUAAGUCGUAACAGAGUAAGUGUACUGGAAAGUGUACUU